Lucilia cuprina (Australian sheep blowfly) is the source of this 774-nucleotide long non-coding RNA. RefSeq lists it as uncharacterized. The transcript has 2 exons. Lineage: Eukaryota; Metazoa; Arthropoda; Insecta; Diptera; Calliphoridae. The record is from RefSeq and is a predicted model, not a curated record.
AACAAAAACCGGACGUAACGAAAAACACUAGUUAGUGAGUGGUUUUAGAAAACAAAAAUAAAUAAACAAAUGAGUAAUAAGUAGAAAAAUAUUUAGCUAAAUUAGUUUAAUUAAUGAAAUAUUAUUAAAAUUUUGUUUUGUUUACACUCUAAGAGCGAACAGAGAAAGCUGUUAUGUCAGAAAAAACAAAAAAGAAAUUUUUUGUUUAUAUUUAAAAAUUUACCUUUAUAAAGUAUUAUUAUUAAAAUAAAAGAGAGUACACAACAACAAUUUUAUCUUAUACUAAAAGAGCGCAGUUACAUUUUAACUCUUCACGGUGACACAUCUCGGUUGCGGACGGGGCUAGAAAUAUUAUUGAAAAAAUAGCAAAACAUAAUUGUUAAAGAAUUAUUAAUCUUUAAGUUGUUUUUCUGUGUGUGUGUAUGUGUGCAUAAUAAGAAAUAGAAAACAAAGAUUUAUUUUAAAUAAAUUAAUACAAAAUUUUCCAUUUAAAUAAAAGAAAUAAUUAAAUACAAGUGUAAUUUGUAGCUGAAAAUUCCCACACUGAAAACAACAACAAUUAUACUACCACAAAAAAAAACAUAAACAAAGGUAGAGAAAACAAAUUGUUUAAUACAGAAAAAGAAAAAGGAAGAGCAGAGGGGGUUAAAGAACAAGCAAAAGUAAUAGAAAAAAGUACUACCUACUGCCUUGUUAAAAAAAGAAGAAAAACAACAACAAUAGCCUAAACGUACAAAGCAAAGUGGUUUUUUUUAUUAAAAGUAACACAUAAAA